RNAcentral lists this long non-coding RNA (2483 nucleotides) under Pelobates cultripes (western spadefoot toad). Lineage: Eukaryota; Metazoa; Chordata; Amphibia; Anura; Pelobatidae. The record is from RNAcentral.
AUUCAAAUGAUAAAUAACCUCUGACUGAGGCAUUGGGCUUAAAGAAACACUCAAACCACCAUAACCACUACAGCCAGCUAUUGCCAGGAGUGCUUACCUGGGGUCUCCCAUCGACUCCUCCUUAUUUGCAAGGAGAUUCUACUUGCGAGUAGUGGAUGUAGGGAAGGGAUAGGGACUGUACUAGGGUAGGUAGUGAGUGCAGUGGGGGAUAGGAGCUGUAGUGGUGGAAGAGGUUGUUGAGGCUAUGGUACGUGCAGAGAGCGUAGGAGCUGCAAUGUGUGCAUGGAGGGAUAGGGGCUGUAGUGGUCGCAGGGGGAGUUAGGAGAUGAAGCCGGUGCAUGGGGGGACCGAGGCUGCAGUGGGUGCAGGGAGGGAUAGGGGCUGUAGUGGGUGCAUAGGGGGAUAGGAACUGCAGUGGGUGCAUGGGGGGAUAGGAGAUGCAGCGGGUGCAUGGGGGGACAGAGGCUGCAGUGUAGUGGUCUCAGGGGGUGCUGAGGAAAUGGUAGAUGCAGGGAGGAUAAGGGCUGCAGUGGGUGUCACUCGAGCAGCGCCAGCUCUACAGACUGUGAGGAUACUCCAUGGGGCUGGUGGCAGAGCUGGGCUGGGUGCUGUGUAUUUCCAGCACCCACCAAGAUCCGGCACUGGCUCUCAAUAAUAAGCUAAGUCCUGCCCCACCUGGCUCAGCUCAGUGCAUGGAGCUUCUGGCUAGUGAGACGGUUCACUCUGGCUAGUGCUACAUACUCCCAGUGGGCCCAGGUAUGUUUUCAAAUUGUAUGAGCACCUACCCUGGGGGAGCACCAAAACAUCCCUGGCACUAUAACUAAUAGAAUGGACUGCAGUGGUUAGCAGACAUCCCAAGUCUCCCAGUAGUUCUGGGAGUCUCUCGGAGUAAGUUUGAAUGUGGCUCCCUGACACCCGCCAAUCAUAUACAAUAUCCCUGAAAUCACACACACAAUGUGACAUACAAUGUGUGUUGGAUUUCCAUUAUAUUGCAUAUGAUUUGCGCCCCUCUUCCCCAUAAUACUCACUAAACAGGGGCCAGGUCGGGUGCCGGCACUUUAAGAGCCGACUGGGCCCCUGUGAUAUCAGCCGGUACUAGAGAGGAAGUAACAGCCUGUCACUUGCUCUCAGCUUCACAUAGAGCUGCCCGGGAGGAAUCAACAUGUAGGCAAAUGAGAGGCAUGCUUACUCCCAUCAGCCUCAGCCAGCACCAGAAACCUAAACAAGCAACCCUCCUGGACACAAAGGUAAGCUAACAGGAAGGUGCCUGAAAAUAUAUAAAGUAUGACAUGUAUGUGUGUGUUGGAGUGUGUGUGUGUGUAUCUGUGUGUAUGUACCAAUAUGUGUCAGAUUGUGUUUUUGUGUCAGUGUGUAUCUGUAUGUCAGUGUGUGUAUCUGAGUGUGUGUCAGUGUGUAUCUUAGUGUGUGUUGUAUAUGUGCAUGUGUGUGUAUCUAUAUCAGUGUGUGUAUCUCCGUGUAUGUGCCAGUGUGUGUGUCAGUGGGUAUCUGGGUGUGUAUGUGCCAGUGUGUGUGUUUUAAUAUGUGUAUAUGUGUGUCAGUGUGUAUCUGUGUGUGUGUGUUGGUGUGUUUGUGCCUGUGUGUGCCAUGGCGUGUAUCUGUGUGUUUAUGUCAGUAUCUGCAUCUGAAUGUAUGUGCCAGUGUGUGUUUUAAUAUGUGUAUCUGUGUGUCGGUGUGUGUUUGUACCUGUGUGUGUACCAUGGCGUGUAUAUGUGUGUCAAGGUGUUAAUACAUGUUUGGUGGCUGUGUGUGUGUGGGGGAGUGGCGCAGUAGCUGGUGAAGACACCUUCCUGAAAUUAAUUUUUGCAUGUUGGGCUGUCUGGGUUAGGGUGCUUGGAGUGUUCAUAAAAAUGCCUUUUAGGCAUGGCCAUGGGCUGCAGUUUACAAUAGUCCUCCCGAUACUAUAGUCCUCUCGAUGCUAUAGCCCAACUGAUACUAUACUCCUCCUGAUACAAUAGUCCUCCCGAUGCUAUAGUCCUCCCAAUACUAUAGUCCUUCCGAUGCUAUAGUCCUCCCGAUACUAUAAUCCUGAUACUAUAGUUCUCCUGAUACUACAGUCCUUCCAAUGCUAUAGUCCCAAUACAAUAGUCCUCCCGUUACUAUAGUCCUCCCAAUGCUAUAGUCCUGAUACUAUACUCCUCCCAAUGCUAUAGUCACGGUGCUAUAGUCCUCCCAAUGCUAUUGUCCUCGAAAAUACUAUAGUCCCGAUACUAUAGUUCUCACAAUGUUAUAGUCCCAAUGCCAUAGUCCUUCCGAUACUAUAGUCUUGAUGCUAUAGUCCUCCCGAUGCUAUAGUCCUCCCGAUGCUAUAGUCAUUGUGAUGUUAUAAUGUAAAUGGUAGUUGGUUCAGCGCUUGGUGUGUCAAUAGAAUAGUGCAGGAUAUAUUUACAUAUGGGCAGCAACCUAAAAUAAGACGUUCCCUCACAGUGCGUCAAAGAAAGGGGAGAAUCAGAGAAAUAAAAGAU